Molecule: long non-coding RNA, 1784 nt
Filed under: Rhinopithecus bieti (black snub-nosed monkey)
Lineage: Eukaryota; Metazoa; Chordata; Mammalia; Primates; Cercopithecidae
Description: lncRNA (ENSRBIG00000046087.1)
Source: RNAcentral
CGCUCGCCGCCUCAGGCCCCGCCCAUCCCCCCAGCUCCUCGUCCCGGCCCCGCCCACCUGAGAAGCCCAGGUCCAGCAACACAGCGCGCCGGCGGUCGCGGACGCUGCUGAUCUGCUGGAAGCGCACAUCGAGGAACAGGAAGGCGGCGCAGGCGAGGAAGGCUCCGAGGCCCAGCGCGACGCCGAAGCGGCAGGCGCCUGCAUUCCCGUUGAACACGCAGCGCAGCUCGGGGCCGCUGUCGGUGUUCACGUAGCCCUCGUUGACGAUGGGCCCGAAGACGGCGAUGGAGAACACCUGCGUGCGGCGCGGCGCUCAGGGCCCUGCAGCAACCCGACCUCUGCGAGCCCACUGCGAGCGCCCACGGCCCCGGGCCUGUCCCUGCGUUCCCGGGCCCGUAUCUGGGUGGGGGGCGGUGUCAUCUCUUCCUUUCCCAAACCCUCGCGUAUUUUGUAAUUAUUGACAACACGGGCCGUUUAGUGAGCAUCUACUAUGCCCAGGCACUGUGUUAAACAGCCACUUUACAUGCCUUCCCUCACCAAAUCCUGGGAAAGUCCCCGUGGGAUCGCCAUUGUUCUUAUCCUCUUUAUAAAAGGGGACACGGGCUCCAACAGGUGAAGUGACUUGUCCGGGAUCACAUGGCUGACAAAAGCUGGGGCUGAUUCAAGCCAGGUACUCUGCACCGCGUGGGCCCGUGGAGUCCCCUCAGAGCCCACUCAAAAGUGUGGGAACAGGAACCUUCACCUGGGCCCGCGAUUCCCAGGCUGCAGCCGGCAGGGCGAAGGGGAGCAUGCAAAUAGGGUGACGGGCACAGCUCAUGGAAUGCUGGGACAGAGACGUCCACCCAGCUUCCUGCACGCGCUCCGAGAGACCAAGCCGAGGGGGAAGCCGGGACAUGCACUUGUCCCCCAAGAGUGGGCCACAAGUCGGUACAUGCGCUCGGACCAAAACGCAGCGUCCUGCCUCCCGGUGUGGUCAGAGCCACUCCGCAGGGGAGGCCAAAGCCCCCUGCCCCACCAUGGGCACCGCCCUCCUCCAAGACAGGCGCCAAGGUGCGGCUGGCCCAGAGGUUGCCACCUGGACAAAACCCAGAGCUCGGCACCCAACUGCCACUUCCCCUGCCGGAGGGAAGGAGCAGCAGGGCCCUCCCAGGGACGCCCCAGUGGGCUAGGCUGCCCCCAAACCUGCCUCCCACACCACCUCCAGGAAGCCCUCCCAGCCCAGCCUCUCCUCCCUCAACUCACAGCUGGACCUGGGGGCCAGGGGCCAGGCUCCCUGCCAAGGAGCCCCGAGGGUGUGUGUGCGGGGGAAGGGGAGGCGCUGCCCGGUCUCUCUCGAUUCCCGUAGCCCCCUUCCUCUGCCCCUAGGCGAAUCCCGUCCCCACCCGGUCCCUGCUUCCAGGUCACGAGAACAGGAAAAACGGAGUAAGGGCUGCGGAAAGGGACUGGAAUUAGACCCGGGGAGGAGAUAGGAGUAGGGGCGACCGGCGGUGACCUCUCAAGGUCUCUCCGGCGCCGCCGGCCCCUCCCCCGCCCGCAGGUGGGCGCGCCCUGUCCGGUGACGUCACCCCAACCUGAGGCCGGCGGGGGAGGGGCCGGCGAGGAUGAGAGUGAGUGGGUUGCGGGGCGAGAAGCAGGGGGCAGGGGGAAGGUGGCAGGGGUGGGUAGGGGCCUGAAGGUCGUGAAGCAGGGGCGGGAGCGGGAGCCCGGGCAGGGACCACUCACCCAGGACGCGACCCGGAGCAGGGUCUGGGGCCGCCGUGCAAAGCUCACAGGGUCCAGGGCGG